AGAGUUUGAUCAUGGCUCAGAAUCAACGCUGGCGGCGUGCCUAACACAUGCAAGUCGCACGAGAAAGGGGAGCAAUCCCUGAGUACAGUGGCGCACGGGUGAGUAACACGUGAAUAAUCUACCUCCGAGUGGGGAAUAACUGAGAGAAAUCUUAGCUAAUACCGCAUAACACUUACGAGUCAAAGCAGCAAUGCGCUUGGAGAGGAGUUCGCGGCCGAUUAGUUAGUUGGCGGGGUAAUGGCCCACCAAGACGAUGAUCGGUAUCCGGCCUGAGAGGGCGCACGGACACACUGGAACUGAAACACGGUCCAGACUCCUACGGGAGGCAGCAGUGGGGAAUUUUGCGCAAUGGGGGAAACCCUGACGCAGCAACGCCGCGUGGAGGAUGAAAUAUCUUGGUAUGUAAACUCCUUUCGAUGGGGAAGAUUAUGACGGUACCCAUAGAAGAAGCCCCGGCUAACUUCGUGCCAGCAGCCGCGGUAAUACGAGGGGGGCAAGCGUUGUUCGGAUUUAUUGGGCGUAAAGGGUGCGUAGGCGGUUUGGCAAGUCUGAUGUGAAAUCUAUGGGCUCAACCCAUAGUCUGCAUCAGAAACUGCCGGGCUUGAGUAUGGGAGAGGUGAGUGGAAUUUCCGGUGUAGCGGUGAAAUGCGUAGAUAUCGGAAGGAACACCUGUGGCGAAAGCGGCUCACUGGACCAUAACUGACGCUGAUGCACGAAAGCUAGGGGAGCAAACAGGAUUAGAUACCCCUGUAGUCC
Molecule: ribosomal RNA, 756 nt
Filed under: uncultured bacterium
Lineage: Bacteria
Description: bacterial SSU rRNA
Rfam family: Bacterial small subunit ribosomal RNA
Source: RNAcentral